UUUAAGGUUGCUAAUUUUAUAAGAUGAAGAACUUUUUAUUUUCCCAAAUGUAUCACCAUUACAAAGAAAAAAAAAAAAACACUGAUGAAGGGUGAUAGAUGCCCAGGCUGGUGCCUGAAUACACAAAGCAGUACACUCUGAGGUCACUGACCAAGCUGUUGUGACAUCAGCAAGAGAUGGCUGUGACCUCACUGACACUCACUGUACAAAUCCAGGUUCCAACAGAGUUUCAUGUGGACUUAUGCCUGGACUCCAGUUGAGCACAACUGUGAGACUUGGAGCACUGAACAUGUUGGGUUGCACUGUGGGGCUGCUUGCAGUUCUUGGUGCCUAUCCCACAGCAUCACCAGCAUCUCACCAGCCUUUCCUGGCUCACAUACACACAAAAACAUGGCACGGGAGAGAAAAAUCGUGAUGUUUUGAAACUCCAGGAGAGCCAGCAGACCAUUAGAAUUCUUCAUGUCACAAAAGAUCAGCCAAGAAACAUUCAGCUAAUGCCUAGAUCACCUGUUUUCUGCCUCCCCUCAGAUAAAUUCUUCUCACUAAACCCUCCAGAUGAACACAGCUAUAUCCAAUGCAAAGACAGUUACCAAACUAGAUGCAGGUAAUCACACUUUCCUCUUUUUCUGCAAAUAAUUAUGUCAUAUUUCCCCACGCCUUAAUUCUACUCUUGUUUUCAGAGGCUUGUAUUUUGCUGAACUUCACUGUCUGGAAAGGCAAAAGAUAUCUAGCAACGUUAAAUUAAUUCAUAGAUACUGAACACUAAGUUUUCAUGUCCUAAAUGACAGAGACCUACAAGAUGACAAUUUUUAAUUUUCAGGUCUCAGAUAACUUUUGCUUUGAAGUAGAAGGAGGUCAGAGAGGGCAUUCUCUGGAGCUCAAAGCUAUCUGAUGACUGAGAUAAUUAGCAAAAAACUAAAUACAUUGGGAGGUUAAUCAUAGCGGCAUCCCAGCUCUUCACCUGAUCUAAUGCUAUACUUAAUAAAUUUCUCUUAUGGCACCA
Molecule: long non-coding RNA, 1003 nt
Filed under: Coturnix japonica (Japanese quail)
Lineage: Eukaryota; Metazoa; Chordata; Aves; Galliformes; Phasianidae
Description: lncRNA (ENSCJPG00005015539.1)
Source: RNAcentral